Molecule: ribosomal RNA, 407 nt
Filed under: uncultured bacterium
Lineage: Bacteria
Description: partial 16S ribosomal RNA
Rfam family: Bacterial small subunit ribosomal RNA
Source: RNAcentral
AUUGAACGCUGGCGGCAGGCCUAACACAUGCAAGUCGAGCGGAGCGGCGGACGGGUGAGUAAUGCCUAGGAAUCUGUCUGGUAGUGGGGGAUAACGUCCGGAAACGGGCGCUAAUAUCGCAUACUAUCAGAUGAGCCUAGGUCGGAUGAGCUAGGUGGUGGGGUAAAGGCCUACCAAGGCGACGAUCCGUAACUGGUCUGAGAGGAUGAUCAGUCACAUUGGAACUGAGACACGGUCCAGACUCCUACGAGAGGCAGCAGUGGGGAAUAUUGGACAAGGGGCUAAAGCCUGAUCCAGCCAUGACGCGUGUGUGAAGAAGGUCGUCGGAUUGUAAAGCACUUUAAGUUGGGAGGCGUUACCAACAGAGUAAGCACCGGCUAACUUCGUGCCAGCAGCCGCGGUAAUUC